This 253-nucleotide ribosomal RNA is filed under the name uncultured prokaryote. Its description in RNAcentral is "partial 16S ribosomal RNA". It matches the Rfam family "Bacterial small subunit ribosomal RNA", at positions 524 to 776 of the family's 1533-position model. The record is from RNAcentral.
GACGAACCGUACGAACGUUAUUCGGAAUCACUGGGCUUAAAGGGUGCGUAGGCGGUGUGGAAAGUUGGGUGUGAAAUACCUCGGCUUAACCGAGGAACUGCAUUCAAAACUACCAUGCUAGAGGGAGACAGAGGUGAGCGGAACUUAGGGUGGAGCGGUGAAAUGCGUUGAGAUCGGAAGGAACGCCGGUGGCGAAAGCGGCGGGCUGGACCUCUUCUGACGCUGAUGCGCGAAAGCGUGGGGAGCAAACAGG